This 454-nucleotide ribosomal RNA is filed under the name uncultured bacterium. RNAcentral describes it as "partial 16S ribosomal RNA". It matches the Rfam family "Bacterial small subunit ribosomal RNA", at positions 28 to 507 of the family's 1533-position model. The record is from RNAcentral.
GAUGAACGCUGACAGAAUGCUUAACACAUGCAAGUCAACUUGAACUUCGGUUUGGGUGGCGGACGGGUGAGUAACGCGUAAAGAACUUGCCUCACAGCUAGGGACAACAUUUGGAAACGAAUGCUAAUACCUGAUAUUAUGAUUAUAUGGCAUCGUAUAAUUAUGGAAGCUAUAUGCGCUGUGAGAGAGCUUUGCGUCCCAUUAGCUAGUUGGAGAGGUAACAGCUCACCAAGGCGAUGAUGGGUAGCCGGCCUGAGAGGGUGAUCGGCCACAAGGGGACUGAGACACGGCCCUUACUCCUACGGGAGGCAGCAGUGGGGAAUAUUGGACAAUGGACCGAGAGUCUGAUCCAGCAAUUCUGUGUGCACGAUGAAGUUUUUCGGAAUGUAAAGUGCUUUCAGUUGGGAAGAAAAAAAUGACGGUACCAACAGAAGAAGUGACGGCUAAAUACGUG